Molecule: ribosomal RNA, 465 nt
Filed under: uncultured Klebsiella sp.
Lineage: Bacteria; Pseudomonadati; Pseudomonadota; Gammaproteobacteria; Enterobacterales; Enterobacteriaceae
Description: bacterial SSU rRNA
Rfam family: Bacterial small subunit ribosomal RNA
Source: RNAcentral
CCUACGGGCGGCUGCAGUGGGGAAUAUUGCACAAUGGGCGCAAGCCUGAUGCAGCCAUGCCGCGUGUGUGAAGAAGGCCUUCGGGUUGUAAAGCACUUUCAGCGGGGAGGAAGGCGUUAAGGUUAAUAACCUUGGCGAUUGACGUUACCCGCAGAAGAAGCACCGGCUAACUCCGUGCCAGCAGCCGCGGUAAUACGGAGGGUGCAAGCGUUAAUCGGAAUUACUGGGCGUAAAGCGCACGCAGGCGGUCUGUCAAGUCGGAUGUGAAAUCCCCGGGCUCAACCUGGGAACUGCAUUCGAAACUGGCAGGCUAAAGUCUUGUAGAGGGGGGUAGAAUUCCAGGUGUAGCGGUGAAAUGCGUAGAGAUCUGGAGGAAUACCGGUGGCGAAGGCGGCCCCCUGGACAAAGACUGGCGCUCAGGUGCGAAAGCGUGGGGAGCAAACAGGAUUAGAUACCCCAGUAGUC